CCUAACCUUAACCAUACACAAAACCCUAAUCAUAAUUCCUUACACACUAACCCCUCAUUCUAACCUCUACAGAAAUGCCAGCUUCCUGAAUGGGAACAAUGAUUUCCCAAACAGAUGUGAGACAAUGAGCCAUUUAUCAAUAACUUAUCAGGAUUUCUGUCCAAAACCUACAAACUAACUCAUAAUUUUUUUAAACAUGUCAAAUGUAGUGAAAUAAAACAACAAUCAUUUUAUUAAGUUCAUGAAUUCUAUGGUUCAGGAAUCCAAAAUAGGGCAUAGGAGAGAUUUUCCAUUUCUGCUCUACAAGGUCUGUGACGGAAGUUAGGGUAAAUGUUCUGCUAUCCAAUAGGUCAGAUCCUAGAAGAGGAGGAAGUUUGGUCAUGCUUAGAGUAGGUGCAGGAGAAGAGCAAGCCAGAAGGAAAGCUCUAUACACAUGGGUCAUAACUGGAUUUCCCUCCACUCCCACAUUUUUAGAGCAGCACCAGUUGCCUUACCUACAUAUUUAGAAAGGAUGAGGCAUGAAAAGAUACAAAGACAGAUAAAGAUGGCUCAGCUAAAGAAGUGAACAAGAAUUUAUUGCCCACUUCUCAAGCAAAGUGAGCUAGAGGCCAUUAUCCUCAGCAAACUAACGCAGCAACUAAAUACUGCAUGCUCUCACUUAUAUGUGGGAGCUAAAUGAUGACAACCCAUAGACACAAAGAGAGGAACAACAGGCACUGGAGCCUAACAGAGGGUGGAGAGUGGGAGGAGGAAGAGGAGCAGAAAAAAUAACCAUUGAAUACAAGGCUUCAUACCUGGGUGAGAAAAUAAUUCAUACAUCAAACCCCUGUGACAUGAGUUUACCUAUGUAACAAACCUGCACAUGUAGCCCCGAACCUAAAACACAGGUCUU
This 892-nucleotide long non-coding RNA is filed under the name Pan troglodytes (chimpanzee). RNAcentral's name for it is "long non-coding RNA NONPTRT017760". The record is from RNAcentral. Lineage: Eukaryota; Metazoa; Chordata; Mammalia; Primates; Hominidae.